UCCCUCGUGGUCCAGUGGCUAGAACUCUGUGUUUCCAAUGCAGGGGAUCCAGGUGCAAUCCCUGGUCAGGGAA
RNAcentral lists this transfer RNA (73 nucleotides) under Bos taurus (domestic cattle). It matches the Rfam family "tRNA". Rfam says of the family: Transfer RNA (tRNA) molecules are approximately 80 nucleotides in length. Their secondary structure includes four short double-helical elements and three loops (D, anti-codon, and T loops). Further hydrogen bonds mediate the characteristic L-shaped molecular structure. tRNAs have two regions of fundamental functional importance: the anti-codon, which is responsible for specific mRNA codon recognition, and the 3' end, to which the tRNAs corresponding amino acid is attached (by aminoacyl-tRNA synthetases). tRNAs cope with the degeneracy of the genetic code in two manners: having more than one tRNA (with a specific anti-codon) for a particular amino acid; and 'wobble' base-pairing, i.e. permitting non-standard base-pairing at the 3rd anti-codon position. RNAcentral also lists the same sequence under 5 other names. The record is from Rfam by way of RNAcentral. Lineage: Eukaryota; Metazoa; Chordata; Mammalia; Artiodactyla; Bovidae.